RNAcentral lists this ribosomal RNA (497 nucleotides) under uncultured bacterium. Its description in RNAcentral is "partial 16S ribosomal RNA". It matches the Rfam family "Bacterial small subunit ribosomal RNA", at positions 28 to 507 of the family's 1533-position model. The record is from RNAcentral.
GAUGAACUCUGGCGGCGUGCCUAAUACAUGCAAGUCGAGCGAACGGACGAGAAGCUUGCUUCUCUGAUGUUAGCGGCGGACGGGUGAGUAACACGUGGAUAACCUACCUAUAAGACUGGGAUAACUUCGGGAAACCGGAGCUAAUACCGGAUAAUAUUUUGAACCGCAUGGUUCAAAAGUGAAAGACGGUCUUGCUGUCACUUAUAGCUGGAUCCGCGCUGCAUUAGCUAGUUGGUAAGGUAACGGCUUACCAAGGCAACGAUGCAUAGCCGACCUGAGAGGGUGAUCGGCCACACUGGAACGGGGACACGGUCCAGACUCCUACGGGAGGCAGCAGUAGGGAAUCUUCCGCAAUGGGCGAAAGCAUGACGGAGCAACGCCGCGUGAGUGAUGAAGGUCUUCGGAGCGUAAAACUCUGUUAUUAGGGAAGAACAUAUGUGUAAGUAACUGUGCACAUCUUGACGGUACCUAAUCAGAAAGCCACGGCUAACUACGUG